CAUAUAAAGGUUGUCAUUCAACAUAAGUGAACCAGUUCCAAUAACAUUUGAAUUUAAAGACAAUUGAACCGAAUUGUUUCCAAAUGAACAACAAUAACCAAAUUUGUCCAAAUAUGAAACAUAAAUUAAAUUUCGUCUAAAAGACGGUACAACAAAAGUGUCUUUCAAAUCCAAAUAGAAACCAGUACAUAAUAACAACCUAAAAUGUCCUAUAGCUUCCACUUCUACCGAUUUCCCAUCGCCAACAUAUAUGUAUCUUUCAACAUGAUUAGGCUUUCGGUAGCUCAGGCAACCCUGCAUUGAAACACUGAUGUUAGAAGUUGAACCGGAGUCUAACCACCAGGUGUUUCUAGGUACUGAAGUUAAAUUGACCUCA
Molecule: long non-coding RNA, 376 nt
Filed under: Lupinus angustifolius (narrow-leaved blue lupine)
Lineage: Eukaryota; Viridiplantae; Streptophyta; Magnoliopsida; Fabales; Fabaceae
Description: long non-coding RNA (LANG_LNC001424)
Source: RNAcentral